UCCUAUUAUAUUUCGAAUUUUUAAGUGUGGUCAAGUCCUAGAGUUAGAUCUAUGAGUUUUCUAACUUAUCCAAGUGGAAUCACUGGAAAAGGUGUUGUAGAUUUUCGUGUGAACUAAUUUUAGCAAAGUACGAAAAACUUCAAAAUAUGAAAAAGGCUGCUGCCAUGAUUUUAAAAGUACUGUUUCGGCCACUUAAUUUGUGAGAAAAAUUCUGGCCUUUUGGGAUAUGAAAG
Molecule: long non-coding RNA, 233 nt
Filed under: Panax ginseng (ginseng)
Lineage: Eukaryota; Viridiplantae; Streptophyta; Magnoliopsida; Apiales; Araliaceae
Description: long non-coding RNA (PGIN_LNC006318)
Source: RNAcentral